RNAcentral lists this ribosomal RNA (304 nucleotides) under uncultured bacterium. Its description in RNAcentral is "partial 16S ribosomal RNA". It matches the Rfam family "Bacterial small subunit ribosomal RNA", at positions 506 to 807 of the family's 1533-position model. The record is from RNAcentral.
CAGCAGCAGCCGCGGGAAUACGUAGGUGGCAAGCGUUGUCCGGAAUUAUUGGGCGUAAAGGGCUCGCAGGCGGUUUCUUAAGUCUGAUGUGAAAGCCCCCGGCUCAACCGGGGAGGGUCAUUGGAAACUGGGAAACUUGAGUGCAGAAGAGGAGAGUGGAAUUCCACGUGUAGCGGUGAAAUGCGUAGAGAUGUGGAGGAACACCAGUGGCGAAGGCGACUCUCUGGUCUGUAACUGACGCUGAGGAGCGAAAGCGUGGGGAGCGAACAGGAUUAGAUACCCCUGUAGUCCCUGUCUCUUAUAC